GGCCUGGGGGCAGUCACCGCCCUCUCCUGGCUUUCUCUGGGAGAGGGCGCCUGGGACACCGCUUUCUGACAUUUUGACAGCUCAGAGGUUCUUAAGACUUUUGUUUCUCCAGUGGAAGUUAACAGGCUGACUGUAGGGACACGCAGCCGCCCAUAUAUGCGUGUAGUAAGGACCAAUUUGGAAGACUCGUAAGAAGACACAGCGUUCCUUAAGCAAACACGGGCGAUGGAUUUAAAUGCUCGGAAUUAGAACAAAUCAACGACUGCAGGUGAAAUGGCUUUGCUAACCGUAAAAUAUAUUAUUAUUUAUUCAACAUGAAAACAGGAAGUCCUCCAUGAGCACAUGAUGGACUCUCUCUGUGUCAGCCAGGCUGGCGUGCAAUGGCACGAUCUCAGCUCACUGCAACCUCUGCCUCCCAGGUUCAAGUGAUUCACCUGCCUCAGCCUCCCAAGUAGCUGGAAUUACAGGCAAAAUAAAAUGAAAAUUGGGACAUGCUUCCUCAUGGAAUAGGGAGUAAUAUUUAGUAAGUUUACCCAAGCAGUGUCCAUGGAUGGAGGGAAGAAGAGGAUCAAGGCCUGAGAGGGAGAAGAGGAGAAUCCCACAGAAAGACAGAAGAAGGAGCAGCCAGUACGAGACAGGUGCAGUGGCCCAUGCCUGUAAUCCCAGCACUUUGGGAGGCCAAGGCAGGUGGAUCACCUGAGGUCAGGAGUUCAAGACCAGCCUGGCCAACACAGUGAAACCCCAUCUCUACUAAAAAUACAAAAAUUAUCCGGGCAUGGUGAAAGGCACCUGUAAUCCCAGCUACUCGGGAAGCUGAGGCAAGAGAAUGGCUUGAACCGCGGAGGUGGAGGUUGCAGUGAGCCGAGAUCAUGCCGCUGCACUCUAGCCUGGGCAACAGAGCAAGACUUCAUUUCAAAACUAAAAAACAAAAACAAACCAGAAAACUAUUUCCAUUAGUAUGAGAUUUUGUAUUCACUCAAAACUAUUAUUAUAAUAAUUUUAAAUUUAAUCCAAAAAUACAACUGUAACCUUAUAAUUGUAUUUAUACAUGAAUAAUAUAGAAUUAUGUGAAAUUAGGAACUCCGUUAUCUCUUACAUCUACACCCAUGCCCCCCUACCCAUUAUACUAAGAAUGCUUGUUCUUAUCAUAGAGAUUUGUUUUCUUACAAAGUAAAAGGAGAAAUAUCCCCAUGAGAUCCAAUAAAGUCUUUAAGUAACUUGUUCCAUUAUUAUAUACUAUAGUCUAGAGAAGAAUAAUUCUAAUUCCUUUGGAAUUUCAAUACAAGAUACUUGAAUUUUUUGAAAAGGAAGUUACAUCACUUUCUACCAUUAUUUAUUACCUUUUGAGCUGUGACAGACAGUGUACUCAGCGCUACACAAAACACAGGACACAGUGCCUUCCCUUAGCUGAUGUUGAGAAGCCACCUUAGAAUUAGAAUCUAUGAACAUGAGUUUCGAAGGUGGCACCUUUAGGUAUUUUAGUUCACAGACAUUUUAAUGUGUGUUGAUUUAUAAACUGUAAAAUAGAAUGGAAGUUUAAAUAUUAAUCUGAAAAAAAACUUUGUAUGGGGUGGCACUGUUUAUGUUAAUAUUUCUGCUGAAGUUGGCUAAGUAAUGGCUUCCUAACAUUUAGCUGUAUUCCAGCACUUACUCUGCAAGUACAAAAUCUAUUGAUUUUUAUGAAUAUGAAAGUAAAUGAGUCUCAACGAAACAAUUAGAAAACACAGAAAAGUGUCAAUAGAAAAAUCAUCUGCAAUUCGAUGUUUAGGCAGCUUACAAAAUUCUUUCUUCUCUGUGGUUCAGGAAACCCAUCAUAAGGCAUAAGCUUUGGAAUCAGACAAAUCUGGGUUCAAAUUCUACCCUCUCCACUUAUUCAGGGCACCUUGCAGUAAGCCUCUUAACUCAAUGAGUUUAUUUUAAAUUUUGACUUACCUUCCCCUCCAGUUACCAUCCCUUCCUCCCUCCCUCCCUCUCUCCCUCCCUCCCUCCCUUCCUUCCUUUCUUCCUCCCACCCUCCCUCCCUUCCCUUCCUUCCUUCCUUCCUCUCUUUCUUUCUUUCUUUUCUUUCUCCCUCCCUUCCUUCCUUAUCUCCUUUCUUCCUUCCUUUCCUUCCUUCCUUUCUUUCCCCCCCUCCUUCCCUCCCUUCUUUCUUCUUUCUCUCUUCCUUUCCUUCCCUUUCUCCUGCUGUUGCCCACACUGGAGUACAGUGGCACAAUCUCAGUUCUCUGCAACCUCUGCCUCCCAAGUUCAACCAAUUCUCCUGCCUCAGCCUCCUGAAUAGCUGGGAUUACAGGCACCUGCCACCAUACCUGGCUCCCUUUUUUGUAUUUUUAGUAGAGACGGGCUUUCACCAUGUUGUCCCAGCUGGUUUCAAACUCCUGACCUCAAGUGAUCAGCCCACCUCUGCCUCCCAAAGUGCUGGGAUUAUAGGCAUGAGCUACCGUGCCUGGCCCAUCCAUUUCUUUAGAAAAGUGUGUAUUGUCCUUUCUUACCCUCAUUGCACUCCUCUACCUACUAUAAUCUUCUGUCCCUAUUGUCCAGAAAUGACUCUCAUGAAGGUCACUAAUGGCCUGAGUGUUGCCAAGUUCAGUGCACAUUUUCCUUCUUUAUCUUACGCUCCCUCUCAGCAGCUGUGUUGCCCUGGCACGCUGCAGAAGUGAUACUGGAUAGCUAAUUGCAGACAUUUCUUUCCAAGUUCAGUGAAGGAGUGUUGGUGGCUUGAAAUUAUUAGCCACAGUGACAGUAUUUACACCACAAAAAUCAGCAAAUGCUAUAAAUCAGGGCCUUUUUUUUUCCUGAUAGCCACAUGCUAAACAUUUACCUGACACCAAGAGAUAUAGGGGAACAUUUUCUCCUUCAUAGGAUGCUAUUUUUGCUGUUUAUUCAAUACCCGCCCCCCCCGGUUUUCUUUCCAUCUUAGCUCCCCUAUCCCACCAUUACAUGUUAGCAUUCUUCUUCCUUUCAUGCCCUAGCUCCAUAAAUGAUCACACUAGUUUCUAUGUAUUCAAAUACUACCACUAUGUGGAUCAAUUUUGGAUCUGUAUCUGCAGCCCAGACCUCUUCUCUAAGAUUCAAACUCAAACAUGGAACCACUCAUUUAAAUUUGUACUGGGGGUCUUACAGCAGACCUCUCAAACUCACUGACAAAACUUAGUUCCAUAAAACCUUUCACUUUGUAUGUGUGUGUGUGUGUGUGUGUGUGUGUGUGUGUGUGGUAGAGUCUCACUCUGUCACCCUGGCUGGAGUGCAAUCUCAGCUCACUGCAACCUCUCCCUCCCGGGUUCAAGUGAUUCUUAUGCCUAAGCUCCCAAGUAGCUGGGAUUACAGACACCUGCCACCACACCCAGCUAAUUUUUGUGUUCUUAGUAGAGACGGGAUUUCACCAUGUUGGCCAGGCUGGUCUUGAACAUCUGACAUCAAGUGAUCCACCUGUGUCAGCCUCCCAAAGUGUUGUGAUGUGUGAGGUGUGAACCACCACAACCGGCCAAACCUUUCCCUUUCUGGUCUUCCCCAUCCCAACAUUCUCCAUUUCAGCAAACGCAACCACAAUGUACUCGAUCACUGAAGCCAGAAACCUAAGCAUCAUCCAUGGUUCAUCCCUGUUCCUCAACUUCAUGUCUAAUCCAUCAGCAAAUCCUGUCAAUUCUACCUCCAAAAUAGCUUGUUCCUCUAAUUUUUUUUCUUCAGUUUUAUUCCCAUCAUAUUUUGGGCCACCAUCAUCUUUCAGCUCAAUUACUGUAACAGCUCCAAACUGAUCUCUGAACUUCGAUUCUUCUUCCCCUCAAAUCCAUUCUCCAUGUAGCAGUAAAAAGUGAUCAUAACAUGGAGAUCACACCAUUUGUCUGCUUAAAAGUCUUCUUUUUAAGUUUCUUAAAUAGCUCUUUUAUUCAUUAAAGCUUUUUAAAUUUUAUUAUGCUUUAAGUUCUGGGAUACAUGUGCAGAUAUGAGGUUUGUUAAAUAGAUAUUGUCUUCUUAAAGUCUUUAAAUGACCUUUCAUUGCAUUUAGUUUAAAAAAUUUUUUCAGGUUUUUGAACUGGUCUCUGCUUACCUCUCUCCAACUUUUGAAGUGUGAUUAUUUAAGCUCAUGUAUGAUCUGUUCAAGACUUUGGCUUCCUAGUCUCUGAACAUGCCAGGCUUCCCCUGCACCCCACAUAUAGCUUUUGUAUGUACAUACCGAGUCUGAAAUGAUCUUUUCUUUGCUCCUCCUGUGGGUAGUUCCUUGUGUUGUUCCUUUUAUUACGAAAUCAAUGUAAAUUUACCCUUUCCAUUGUUCUUUAUUCUAGCCCCUUGUUUAUUUCCUGAUUGACUGAAUAAAUGAAUCUGUAUUUCUAAGGAUUUAUCUAAUAGGAAUGAAUAAUGAACAAGUAUUAAAAAGUUCUUAGCAUGAGGCCUGGUGCAGGGUGUAUGUUAAAGAAUUUUUUUUUGCUACUAUUUUUCAAUUUAAUUUUAUUUAUAACAUUCCAUAGUUCCUAAAUAAAGACUUGUGUCCUGAAGGUGACUGUGUUCAAGCUCAGGAUAUUCUCACUUCCUAGUUUCACAGAUGGGUGAGCUGAAUUAAGCAGGACAUCCCUAGUUUUUGUGCUUUGGUUUAUUAAGAAUGUACUGGUAAAGGAAGGAGUGAAUAUUGCUGGUAGAAACUGAAACAUUUAUGGUGAUCCAAAUAGGAUAAAAGACAAGAGCACUAAGAAAACUAUUAGACCACAAGUGCCUCUUGUUUUUCCUGAUCAAACAGAUGUAGAAAGAGCAUGUUUAGAUUUUGGUGAUUUAAUUGGUCAGACUGUGAUGCUAACAAGGCUCUGGUUAUAUGCUUCUAAAUUUAGUCACUUAGUUUGAUAUCAGAAAGUUCUGCAACUGUAAUAUUAUAUUAAAAAUAGAGCUUUUCAAUUAUUAAAGCACCUAGGGCAAGUAGAAGUUUGGUGCAUUAUAUAUAUAUAUACACACACACACACACACACACAUAUAUACACAUAUAUACAGACAUAUAAACACACACCUAUAUACAUACACACACACAAACACAUAUAUAUGUUUUUUUCUUUUUCUUUUUCUUUUGAGACCGGGUCUCACUCUGUCACCCAGGCUGGAGUACAGCGGCGUGAUCUUGGCUCACUGCAACCUCCACUCCUGGGAUCAAGCAAUCCUCCUGCAUUACCCUCCCAAGUAGCUGGGACCACAGACACGUACCACCAUGUCCAGCUAAUUUUUGUAUUUUUGGUAGAGACGGGGUUUCACCAUGUUGCCCAGGCUGGUCUUGAAGUCCUGAGCUCAAGUGAUCUGUCCGCCUAGGCCUCCCAAAAUGCUGGGAUUACAGACGUGAGCCACUGCGCCCAGCCCAUUAUGUUUUUUUAUGUAGGGGUGAUUUAGGGAGUAGCAUCACUUUACAAUUCUAAGACGAGUACACGUAAGCAAUAUAACAUUUAAAUAACAUUAAUACAUCAAAUUUUAAAACCAUUAAAGGCAAGAAAUUUGUUCAAAUACUUGGUUGUUUCUCAGGAGCAGUAACCUUUCUGUAGCCUUGAGGAUGUAUCCACAAGGGACCUUCCAGGCAAUUGCUUUCUACUUUCAUCCAAACCUGUAGCCCCACUCUUUCCAGUCUCUUUGUCUUCCUUAAGGACCUAGAACAAAAUUUUCCUGAACUUUAACCUUGACCCACCCUGUCCACUGUGGUCAUUCAGGGGUAAGAGCUCACUCCUAGGCCUUGUUUUACCAUGCAGUCAAAAUAUAUAGAAAAAGAACAGCUUAAGAGAAGUAAGAAAGCUUUGACCUGUGAAGCAAAAUUUCUAUGAGGCCAUUGGUUUGUAUUGAGCUCUCACACUGGGCCCAACAGACUGAAGCAAAAUGGAAUCACUCCUGCUGAAGUUUCACAUCACCAAACCAAAGCUAAGUUGUUGAUCUGACCUUCCAAGGAAUCAGAGAGAGAUAGAGAGAGAGAGCACCAAAUCCCCAAACAGACCAGUUUUACCUGGCAUGAUAAGGAAGUCCUUUCUGCUUUAACCUUUAGAAGGAAAGCAACUUCAAAAUGACCAAUCCACUUUUUGUUCUCUGGGUCUGCUUCCCCAGCCCUUUCUGCCUAUAAAGCCAACCUUCUCUGUUCAGCUCAUUUACAGAUUGAGUUGUUGCCCGAUUCUAGAAUCACUGAUAAAAGCCUAUUAAGAUAUUUACCUAAAUGAGUUGUAAUUUUGUCUUUGGAUAGACUCACUUGAUUUUUUUUCCCCACAGAUUCACUUUCCACUUGCCUGCCACCUUCUUUUUCGGGAAUCCCACUGUAUGUUCUCUAGGACCCUGUUUAUUCUGCAACUCACAUCAAAAUUGCUCUUUCCUAAAGAUGAGGUACAGAAGAGAGAAGGCGUUGGCUUUCCUUAUAUAGAGUUGAUUUCCUGGAACACCUCCAGCCACAGCCCUUUUAUUUACUUUAUUAUUAUUUUUUACUCUGCCAUAAAUUCAACCAAGUGUACACAACCCUUUUAAUAUGUGAAUGAUGAAAGAAUAAAAGACACAGGCUCACUGGAAGGCAGGAUGUGAGUCACCAUUAAAAAAAAAUCAACACAAACUUCAUCCUAAUGACUAUUUCUAAGGAUCUUUCCUAGGCAUAUAUUUGCACAAAUGUGAAGAGACACGCUUAAGGAUAUUUAGUGCAGCCUGGUUUGUAACAGUGAAAUCAGCAACAACAUAAAUGACUGGCAAAAGGAAAAUGGUUCCCUAAAUUAUAUUACACCCAUGCUAUGGAAUAUAUCCAUAGUAUGCAGCAUCCAAAGAAUAAAAUAGACCUAUAUGCAUCAAUGUGAAAAGACCUUUAAGAUAAAUUGUUAAAUGAAAACAAAUCUAUAGAAAAAGCAUAAUCCAUUUACAUAAAAAAUAUAUUUCUUUGUGUAUAUGUACAUACACAUAAUGUAUAUAUGUACAUAAAGAAAAAGAUCUAGAAUGAUCCCCAUCAAAUAGUAGUGAGCUUUUGCUUUGU
This is a non-coding RNA of Callithrix jacchus (white-tufted-ear marmoset), 6958 nucleotides long. NCBI's taxonomy places the organism in Eukaryota, Metazoa, Chordata, Mammalia, Primates, Cebidae. The record is from RefSeq and is a predicted model, not a curated record.